This is a long non-coding RNA of Brassica napus (rape), 749 nucleotides long. RefSeq lists it as uncharacterized. The transcript has 4 exons. Lineage: Eukaryota; Viridiplantae; Streptophyta; Magnoliopsida; Brassicales; Brassicaceae. The record is from RefSeq and is a predicted model, not a curated record.
GUUUCAUUUUUUGGCUAUUUUCUCAAACGGUUCGAUUCUCUCGAAGUGAAACGAAAGGCGAAGGCGAUUUGAAUGGUGAUUCUGUCCUCUCGUCGACGGCGACGGCUCGAUCGGUGGAUCUCGGCGAGGAAGGGAAACAAAGACCUUUCCAUCGGUGGCUCUCAUCGACCAAAGAAAAUGCCGACGUCUCUCUCUAUCGGUGGCUCUCUGAGACGGGUAACAACGGUGUCCCUUGCGGCUGAGGUGAAUCGAAAAGGUGGAUUGAUGAAGAGGGAGAAGGAGGUAGAUGGUGUCUUGGUGUAAUUAGGAUUGAUCAAGAGACGUGAAGUGGGCACAAAACCUGUCUCUUUGUCAGACAAAAAACACGCCACCAUCAUAAAGGUGACGAGAGCUCAUGACAUGACAUGCCACGGGAGAGCUCACGAUCUUGUAUGUGUGUGUUGCUUUGUCACGAGAUAUGUAUGUAUGUGUGCAGAGCCGGCCCUGGACUAAAGCCCGUGAAGCUAGGGCUUUAGGUGCCAAUAUUCUGAUAUAAGUUAGGGGCGCCAAAUUAUUGACAAAUAUAUCUCAUUGGCCUAAUGGUUGAAGCUUUUCUGGUUUUCUCUUUGGGUGCAGCAGCGCAAGUUCGAUUCUUAAGUUUUAUCUUUCUUUAUUAUUAUUUUUCUAAUACGGUAGAGAACCUGACAGAUUUUGAUUCCUUUAUUGAUAAUCGUAGUUUCCAUGUUUAAUAUAAUUUAUUAAAUGAUUCU